Molecule: non-coding RNA, 4133 nt
Organism: Cyanistes caeruleus (blue tit)
Lineage: Eukaryota; Metazoa; Chordata; Aves; Passeriformes; Paridae
Source: RefSeq, a predicted model, not a curated record
ACAACAGAAAGCAAGAUGGUCCAAGAAUCUGCAAGUCAAAGUUUUGACUUGGACUUCAUAUAGUCCUCGUCAGACUUACAAUACUCUGAGCAUCUAAGGAGCCAGAAGGAUGGUGUGCCAGGUUUUACAACAGGAUAAAAACUAGAAAAAACAGCAUUAGCAGGGAUCCUCUACUUCAGUUCACUGGUGAAUGAACUGUACAAUCAACUGCUGUUUAUUUUAUUGCACUAAGGGCACAACCAAGAUGAGCAUGGCCAUGUAGAAGCUACCUUGUACAUGAACCUUGCAGAAGUCAGUCCUCACUCUCCUGAAUUAGCAAAACCAGGCACAGUGGAGAAAACAGGAGAGACAGAAGCCAAACAGCAGAUAUAUGGUUUAAAAUAUCCCAAGACUCCUAAACUCUGAUCCAUCACUUUGGCCUCUGGACUACAAGGUGCUCAAGGGAUCUCUAGCUGUGAUUUUUCCAUUGCUGUGAGAGCAGAAGGUCAGAUCAGAACUCCUUGAACAACACCUGUACUCCAGGAUGAAGUGGCUUCUGGGGACACUAUAAAUCUUGAUAUGCAGGAACUUUUAACUUUGGCAUUUAUCCGGUAUCCUGUGACAAGACAAGACAACAUUAAAAGCAGAACUGCAAAUUCAGCUGAAAACAGACAGUUUUCCUUCCUGAACACAAGCUGACAUUUUUCAGAUUCGCUGUGAGAGUGAAGAAGUGGGCUGGAGUUACCUGGGAAAACCUCUCUGAACAUUCCUCAGAGUGUGAUGCCAACAGACACCCGGAUGCAGCAGGCUGAACCCAUCCCUGACACCGUGCUCUUGGUUACCAUUCUGACUGAGUGUGGUUUCCAGAUCCUAUUAUGAAUUUUGUCUAAGUGAAAACUAAUAAAAUGUCUCUACUUUGUUACAGCACUGUCAUAAGGACUGAAUGUACACCUGUAGAUAUACAUAUGUAUAUAUACAUGUACAGGUAUAUCCUGGAUAAUGACGCUGCAGAAAAACACUUCACACUCUGGGACAAUCCACUGAAGUUCCCAGACAUCUGAACACUCAGUUUCAGCAUGUUGAAGCUGCUUAGAAGUUCUCACUUUAUAGAUGCCCUAAUUUUUUCAUUGAUAUCAAUCUACAAGCUUGCUUAGAGAUUUGUGAGGGAAGGAGGGGCUUUGCCCCCUCUGAUGUACCAUUACUUCUUAAACAUUUCAGCACAUUUGCAUUUUGUUUCCCCAGGUAAUCUCACAAAUUUGCUUGCUAAGCUCAAACCUGCGGAAAACCAAACACAUUCCAACCAGAAGAUUUAAUGAAACAAGGAGAGCUAAAUGGAGGCACACUGGUUCUGACACACUGGGAAGAACUAUCAAAUCCAUCUCUAAUAUCAAAUACUCUGCCUAGGGAGACAUUACACAGUAAAAACACUUCCAUCUGUUUAGGAAGAAAGAUGUGAGAUUAUGGGAGAUUAAAAGGGACCAAAAAGGGAUUUGCUUUUAAGAGAAAGAAAAAGGAGUUCAUAACAUUGAGAGUAUCACAUAAUAGGCACUUCUGCACAGAAAUAAAAGCAAAAUGCUGAGUUAAAAGCUCAGAGCCUUUGAACAGAAUAUCUAAAAUAUAAUACUCAUUUUUAUUUUUAAAUUGAGAAUUUGAAAGAAGAGAAGCAAUAAAAUACUGUAAAAUGUGGAAGGGAAUCCACUAAAGGAUUUAGACCCAUUUCCUUUACAAAUUGUUGUCCCAGCUUAUGGACUACACACCCCACAACAGGCAAUUUUAAGCAGGUCUUUAUUGUAUCAGUAAACAAAGCCAGGUAAAAUCCACCCAGCUUCUCAGAGAAAUAUGUUACAUUUGGAAAGCCAAAAAAUAUAAGAGAAUAGUGUCUGAUUCAUGGAAAGACAAAUGCACUGGGCUUUCUAGAGUCUAAAGCUGGAGGAAUGAGAGAAGGCAAGGUUUCAAAUUAAGAAAUUAACAAACCUCUGGGUGGGGUUUAAAUAGAAAAGAAUGUUUCAGAUGCAUGAAAGGGGAGGGAAGUGUUUAAAAUCAGGCUGUAUAUAAAACUCAGUGAUAGACUAGGAAAGUAUUAGAAUAUUGCCCAGCAAAGCUGUGAUUCUCCACUUGCAGAGCAAACCAGAUUUCUGUCAAAAUGUGUAAGAAUACCUUGUCUCACCCUAGAGAACAGGAAUGAGUGAUGUGGUUCCUUGAUGCCUUUUCUAGGCCUGUUUCACCAAAGCCCUCACAACACAGGGAUUCUUACCAUCUUUUACUACCCUUCCACAGAAUUUUCAUAAGCCAGGGCCUGACAGAUUCUGCCAACGUAAGGCCUGAAAUGGAACUGACGUUUAUGUUACAUUAAAUUAUCCAAAAUAUUACAUUAAUUACUUAACCCUGUGUCCCCAUGCAAUGGACAGUGAAAUCCUCCUGCCACCACCUGAGGCAUAGAGAGAGCCACAGCGUUCUGAGCAGAGCAAAUCCAUGUGCUGUCAAGACACUGCUCCCACACAGAAAAUACUCACUAUUCCCUUUUGAUUGGGCAACUGUAAAACAAGGAAACCAGCCAGACCAAAACCUCCUCUCUCUUAGAUCCUGAUGAAAUUAUAAACACCUCCUGUUCCUAUUCUUUAUGCUCAUUUUGACUAGGGGCUUCUGUAGAGAGCAAGUUCUGGAGUUCAGUGAAGCCCCAGGUUUUAAGCACUGGAGAUAGCACUGACUCUACCAGCUCUGGGUAAUGCUCCAUCUCCUGUCUCCACCAACAUCACCCUUGGUCAGGACAAAAAAGAUCUCUAGACUAUGAGUAACGCUUUCCUCACAUACGGCAAACAUCUCACUGGGAGCCUGUCAUUAAAAAUCAGCUUUCCCAAAAGGAUGGCAUUGAACUUAGCAAUCCAGUUAAAUUUUUUUCUGAUCCUACUUAGUCUGUUCUUCCUCUCACCCUCUGCAAACUUCUAUUUAGUACCACAGUGUACAGUAGUGGGAUUUGGGUUUGUUAUCAUAAUCUUUGCAAUUUAUUUAAUCCACCUAGAAACACGUGAAAUUUAUGUAUAAUAAAAAUCACAGAUGGGGAGUAAUAUUGUAGCUUCAUUGAGAAAAUAAAAAUUUGAGCUAGUUUAAUUAGAUUCAGAUAUGAUUAUGGCAUGAGUAUUGAAAAUUUUGAUGCAGUCAGAUUCAGGUUCAUUUAAUUCAGGCCAAGUGGAAUGUGUCUACAGCACAGGGGAAAUGUGAGUCACUGUGCUGCAGCACUGGGCAACAAAAGCUGUUAAUCUAGCACCUAAAGAGCUGAGAAUAUCCAACAGACAUAAGACUGACUAAAUGGCUGCUGAUGAUUGGAAUCAUCACUGCUGAAUGGAGGACCUUAAGUGCCCUCCACUCCCCAGUAUUCUAGAUGCAAUUUAGGCUUUCACAGACUCCUCACUGUAAUUCUAUGCAUAUAAACUUGUGUUCAAGACUGAAUCAGAGAAGGUUAAAUACAAGUUCUGCUGCACUGCAGAUUCCAGGGCAAGACUUUGAAAUGCAGACCAUUACUCUUUUGAGAUCCCAAGAUAUUCCAUCCCAAUUCAAUUUAAAUUACACUGCAAGUAAAAUACCCACUAAUUUCAAUGAGAAGCACAUGAUAGAAAGUCUGGGGCACAUCUGGGCACACCCAAAAACACCUGAGCACACCCGGAGCUGAACAAAGUCCAACAAAGACUUUUACAGAAGCCAAAUAAUCUGACUCAAGUAAUAUCCUGCUAGAGCAAAUAUAAUUGCUUAAAUGUAUGAAAAGGUAUAUGUACAUAAUGACUUGCAGGAUUGAGUAUACUUCUACUAAAAUACAAAGAAUGCAGCAGCUUCUACAGUAGGAUUGGAAGUUUAGUGAGCUUGGGAUAGAACCUUAAUUGCCAAAGCAACAAACCUUGGAACUCUCCACAGUCAGUGAUGGAAUUUCUUCAUGAUUCCCAUGAAGGAUGGGACUGGUUUGUCAGCAUGAAGUGUUUAAAGCCUUUAUCAGAGGACAGCAACACGACUUCCUCCAUUCAGAACAAGGCAACAAACACACUUCAAUUAAAACCAAGCAAACAAAAAAUAGAAAAAAAUAAAAGAAAAUUGUAACUAAAGGAAAUUUAAAUGAUAGGCAUACAGAAAAAUAGACACAAAUGAAAGGGAAAAAACAAACCCUC